GGGGGUGCAGCUCAGUGGUAGAGUGUUUGUCUAGCAAGCAUGAGGCCCAGAGUUGGAUCCCCA
RNAcentral lists this transfer RNA (63 nucleotides) under Marmota monax (woodchuck). RNAcentral's name for it is "tRNA.Ala". Lineage: Eukaryota; Metazoa; Chordata; Mammalia; Rodentia; Sciuridae. The record is from RNAcentral.